Molecule: ribosomal RNA, 253 nt
Filed under: uncultured bacterium
Lineage: Bacteria
Description: partial 16S ribosomal RNA
Rfam family: Bacterial small subunit ribosomal RNA
Source: RNAcentral
UACGUAGGUGGCGAGCGUUGUCCGGAUUUACUGGGCGUAAAGGGAGCGUAGGCGGACUUUUAAGUGAGAUGUGAAAUACUCGGGCUCAACUUGAGCGCUGCAUUUCAAGCUGGAAGUCUAGAGUGCAGGAGAGGAGAAUGGAAUUCCUAGUGUAGCGGUGAAAUGCGUAGAGAUUAGGAAGAACACCAGUGGCGAAGGCGAUUCUCUGGACUGUGACUGACGCUGAGGCUCGAAAGCGUGGGGAGCAAACAGG